UUCCGGCAGUGAGUCGGCGGGGGAUAAGCUCCGUCGUCGAGAGGGAGACAGCCCAGAUCGUCGUCUAAGGUCCCGAAGCGUGUGCUAAGUGGGAAAGGAUGUGGAGUCGCAUAGACAGCCAGGAGGUUGGCUCAGAAGCAGCCAUCCUUGAAAGAGUGCGUAACAGCUCACUGGUCUAGUGGUCCCGCGCCGACAAUGUAGCGGGGCUCAAGCACACCACCGAAGACGCGGCAGCGGCCUUUGUGGCCGUUGGGUAGGAGAGCGUCCCGCGUGGGGCGAAGCGGCCGGGGAACCGUGCCGUGGACCGCGCGGGAGUGAGAAUGCAGACAUGAGUAGCGAGAGACGGGUGAGGAUCCCGUCCGCUGGAUGACCAAGGGUUCCGGGGCCACGUUCGUCGUCCCCGGGUGAGUCGGGUCCUAAGGCGAGGCCGACAGGCGUAGUCGAAUGGAUGAACGGGUGGAUAUUCCCGUACCGGCGGCGUACCGUAAGAGCCGAACGGAUGAGUACUAACCUCCGGUCGCGUGGCGUCGUUCCCUUCGGGGUUCGGUGUCCGCGGUCGUUGGGAGCGUAGUCCUGGUAGGCUAGCGCACAGGGGUGACACGGAAUGGGAGCCGGCCGCGGAGGUGGUUUUCCGUGGUCAAGCACGCAGCCCGUCCCAUAGGCAAAUCCGUGGGGCAUGUAGGGUGAGGUGUGAUGAUGGGCGUCUUUUUUGGCGCGAUAUCCGGUGGUCCAGGCCGUCGAGAAAAGCCUCGGCGCGAGGGGCGUCGCCGCCCGUACCCCAAACCGACACUGGUGGUCAGGUAGAGAAUACCAAGGCGAUCGAGCGAAUCCUGGUCAAGGAACUCGGCAAAUCACUCCCGUGCCUUCGGUAUAAGGGAGACCCCCGGGCGUGAAGAGGCUUGCCCUCGGAGCGUUGGGGGGUGGCACAGACCAGGGGGUAGCGACUGUUUACCAAAAACACAGGUGCAUGCGAAGGCGCAAGCCGCUGUAUAUGCACUGACGCCUGCCCGGUGCCGGAAGGUUAAGAGGAUCCGUCAGCCCCUUUUUGGGGUGAAGCGGUGAAUUCAAGCCCCGGUAAACGGCGGUGGUAACUAUAACCAUCCUAAGGUAGCGAAAUUCCUUGUCGGGUAAGUUCCGACCUGCACGAAUGGCGUAACGACUUCCCCACUGUCUCGACCAGGAGCUCGGCGAAAGUGCAGUACGAGUAAAGAUGCUCGUUAAGCGCAGAAGGACGAAAAGACCCCGGGACCUUUACUAUACCUUGGUAUUGGCGUUAGGCGCGGAUUGUGUAGCAUAGGCGGGAGGCUUCGAAGCAUGGGCGCCAGCCCGUGUGGAGCCGCAAGGUGAAAUACCGCUCUGUUCUCGUUUGACGUCUCACCUCGAACAGUCAUCCUGUUCAGGGACAGUGCCUGGCGGGUAGUUUAACUGGGGCGGUUGCCUCCCAAAGAGUAACGGAGGCGCUCAAAGGUCCGCUCAGCCCGGUUGGCAAUCGGGUUUCGAGUGUAAUCGCACAAGCGGGCUUGACUGCGAGAACGACGGUUCGGGCAGGGACGAAAGUCGGAGAUAGUGAUCCGGUGCCGGCGCACGGGCGCGGCAUCGCUCAACGGAUAAAAGGUACCCCGGGGAUAACAGGCUGAUCAUUCCCAAGAGUCCAUAUCGACGGGAUGGUUUGGCACCUCGAUGUCGGCUCGUCGCAUCCUGGGGCUGGAGCAGGUCCCAAGGGUUCGGCUGUUCGCCGAUUAAAGCGGCACGCGAGCUGGGUUCAGAACGUCGUGAGACAGUUUGGUCUCUAUCCUCUGCGC
RNAcentral lists this ribosomal RNA (1802 nucleotides) under Mediterraneibacter torques. Its description in RNAcentral is "[Ruminococcus] torques partial 23S ribosomal RNA". It matches the Rfam family "Bacterial large subunit ribosomal RNA", at positions 975 to 2650 of the family's 2925-position model. The record is from RNAcentral. Lineage: Bacteria; Bacillati; Bacillota; Clostridia; Lachnospirales; Lachnospiraceae.